Molecule: long non-coding RNA, 305 nt
Filed under: Homo sapiens (human)
Lineage: Eukaryota; Metazoa; Chordata; Mammalia; Primates; Hominidae
Description: non-protein coding lnc-TMTC3-5:12
Source: RNAcentral
AGAAGCUCAGUCCUAGAGAACUCUGAGGAUAGCCUGUGAGCUGCAAGUCUGAGGAAGCCGAAAGGAGAAUGGCCACACAGCAUGUCCUGUGGGACUGGAGAAAUAUGGAGAAUGCAGCACACUUGCUUCCUACUGAAGAAAUCCCUGAAAAACCAGAUGGCAGAAGUUACUCAGAAGAAAUGAAAGGAUUUUCCAUUAUUCAAAUAGGAGGUGGAAGAGGAAGUGUGGGAGUAAUUACUGGAUUAAGAUCACUGAAAGACAAGAUUGUCUUUAAGGGUGAGUCCUUUGGUUGGUAAACUUCAUAU